This 648-nucleotide ribosomal RNA is filed under the name Promicromonospora sp. YIM 65590. RNAcentral describes it as "bacterial SSU rRNA". It matches the Rfam family "Bacterial small subunit ribosomal RNA", at positions 56 to 719 of the family's 1533-position model. The record is from RNAcentral. Lineage: Bacteria; Bacillati; Actinomycetota; Actinomycetes; Micrococcales; Promicromonosporaceae.
UGCAGUCGAACGGUGAAGCCCAGCUUGCUGGGUGGAUCAGUGGCGAACGGGUGAGUAACACGUGAGCAACCUGCCCCUCACUUCGGGAUAAGCCUUGGAAACGAGGUCUAAUACCGGAUACGAGCAUUCACCGCAUGGUGGGUGUUGGAAAGUUUUUCGGUGGGGGAUGGGCUCGCGGCCUAUCAGCUUGUUGGUGGGGUAAUGGCCUACCAAGGCGUCGACGGGUAGCCGGCCUGAGAGGGCGACCGGCCACACUGGGACUGAGACACGGCCCAGACUCCUACGGGAGGCAGCAGUGGGGAAUAUUGCACAAUGGGCGAAAGCCUGAUGCAGCGACGCCACGUGAGGGAUGACGGCCUUCGGGUUGUAAACCUCUUUCAGCAGGGAAGAAGCGAGAGUGACGGUACCUGCAGAAGAAGCGCCGGCUAACUACGUGCCAGCAGCCGCGGUAAUACGUAGGGCGCAAGCGUUGUCCGGAAUUAUUGGGCGUAAAGAGCUCGUAGGCGGUCUGUCGCGUCUGGUGUGAAAUCCCAUGGCUCAACUGUGGGCUUGCAUCGGGUACGGGCAGACUAGAGUGCUGUAGGGGAGACUGGAAUUCCUGGUGUAGCGGUGGAAUGCGCAGAUAUCAGGAGGAACACCGAUGGCGAA